UUUCUGAAAGCUUAUGUAACAAAGUUGAGAACUAUACUAAAUGGAAAGAAUAGGCCAAUUGAUCAGAAAAAAUUAGAUGCGAACAAGAGGUAGCAGCAGUACUGAGUUGCAACAUGUAUUGUGAUUUUUUUACUUGAAGACAAAGAAACGGUCUUACAUGCGUUAAUAGAACAAUCUCCCACAGAUAUCAAUACAAUCAAUUACUUUCUGGGUGCACCCUUUGACUCCAAUAACAUCCGUAUUACACAAUUUGGAUCACACAGAAACAUAAAACAAUAUUCAUAAAUGUUGGUUCCAGCUCAAUUAAAUUAUACCAAAGAAAACAAAUCACCACCAUUGGUGGUUUCAGAAUCAGCUUGUUACCAGUCCAAUAUGAAAGAAGAGAAUAGUUCGUCCUCAAAAUGAAGGGUCCAAAUCUUCCAGCUUUAUCCUUGUGGGUUGGCUCGCCAUCCAAUUCAACGUAUCCCAACAAAAAACCUGACCUAGAUGUGUAGCAAGGUCAGAGAAUACAAAACAAUUUAUAUUAAUUUUGUCUUCCUUCAAACAAAAUAACAUUUUAGCCAGAGCGGAACUUGUAACACAAUGCCUAUGCUAACCAACAUUAUAUCGGCAAUGAGCUAUGCGUCAAAGCCCUGUUUCCAUGAGAUAUGACAAAAAUAAAUAAAAGCUAGCGCCUACUUUGAGGCAGGCUCUUUAGCAUUUUCAGGGUGGGAAAUAAGCACCCGCCACCCGCCAAUGGCGGGUAUUUUUUCAAAUUGGCGGUUGACUUUGCCAUGUUUACCCGCCACAGUGGCGGGUGGAUUUUUUCAAAAUAUACCACAACGUGUUUACGGUUUCAAGCGCUGUGUACAGAAACAUAGAAGCUCUCCCGGGCUUUGGGGUUUGCCUCGGAGCAUUCGUUUUCGUCACACAAACGUGGCAGCCGCCCAUUGGUGUACAGGUGUAUGACGUAACCAACCAAACCUUUGAUUGGUCUAAGACUCUCCCAGAGCAUCAUGGGAAUUUUCCGCGAGAAUCGAAGCUAACCGUCUUAAGGCGAGACACGGCAGGCAAAAAUAGGAGUUUUUCGUAUACUGGUCAAUUUUGAUUUUCUUAGCUAUUUUGCUUCCUCAACAUGUCUAUUUUCAAACUAGUAGAAAGAAAACGUUCAAAAUAUAUUUUAAAGUGUUUAUUCUACUGCACUUUGUCUUGUUGUGCCUGUGGAUUUCACCAAAAUUCAGCAAAAGUUAGCAUUCUAACGUAACAUAUAGUACCGCGACCGUUUGCUUCACCAUGACAGUCGUGGUAUCGUUGUAAAGCUCUCUUUCUCCUGCACAAUGUUAUCCGAUCCAAACAUGGUCAUUUCCUUUGUAUCAGCAACCAAUCGUGAAAGUACAAACGGGGGGUUAGACCAAAUCAAGAAAUCCCAUUGGCUGGAGUCGAUUUAUGAUAACUUGAUUCGUUCAAAUGCAUCACGUGAUGUGCGCUGACGCUUCCUGGUUUAGCUGUCAGUGGGACCUUUUAAAUCUCAAAAUGCCGAAAGAAGCGCGAACAAAAACUACCAAGAAAAGAAGACAACAAUUGUCACUUGCCAGACAAAAGGCUAAACAGUCUAAUGAAGAAGACUAUCAAGUUCCUUCACAAAGCGCAUCCAUGCGAAAAUUAUCGAUAGGAAAAGAGUUAGAUAGCGGUGAACAACGCGCCUCACAGCAGUGGCUGAUAGUUCAUGUGGCGCGUUUGAAUGAACUGGUCAAUGGAUUAAUUUGUCCUAAUUGUGCAGGGACAGGGCUUAAAAUUAAUAUUGAUCCGCAAAAUCAAGGCUUUUGUAGCAGUUUACUUCUGGAGUGCAGUCUGUGCGAAAGAGAUGGGUACCGCAAAAGUAUUUACACAUCAACGCGUCUUCAAGACGGAACGAGAAACGACGUUGCCUUUGACGUGAAUGUGCGAAUGGUGCUCUUAGCGCACGAGUUAGGGUUGGGGUAUGCUGCGCUCAAGAAAAUAAGCAAAGUGUUAGGGAUACCUGCUCUUCAUUUGAAAACUUAUCAGAAACACGACAAGAGAGUGACAGGUAGGCUAUGGAAACAGGGCUGAGACUUAAAGUGGUAGGGGAAAAGGAAUGCAUCUCUCUCACUGGUGGAAAACAAUGUGGCACUUUGGACAAAGUCAAUUACUAAUGAAAGGAGGCAUUGUUGUAUCCCCCACCAACCACACAGCUCCACUGUAGCCUUCAUCAAUUUGUUUUACGGAUGAAUAAAGUAUAUAAUUCAUGUGUUAUUUAGUAAGUUUUACAGUAAACCCCACAGCCUUUUCCUUUUAAUAUCAGAGUGGACAAUAUUUAGAUAAUGUAGCUCACCAAUACACAUAAUUUGUUUUACUUUAGUGGCAAAAACAUAACUUUAACAAUAACACUUGUCCAAAUGAACAGUAAGUAAUACACUAAACAUUUGAUUUUAGUGGCAGAAAUUGAGAGAGGGCUGGAGUCACUGCACAGGACCAGGGAGCAGAUCAGACAGGCUUAUGCAGAUGUUGACCCAGAAGUGGCAGAGUUGCUGAGGGAGGAUGAAGAUGCAGUCAUUAACAUCAGCGUGUCUUUUGAUGGAACCUGGCAAAAAAGAGGCUUCACCUCUCAUUAUGGCAUUGGUGUUUGCAUUGACCUCCUUUCGGGGCUAGUAAUAGAUUAUGAGGUCCUAUCCUCAUACUGCCAUGCUUGUGCUCUAAAAGAAAAUGCCAAGCAAGAAAAAAAAAUUACAGAGCAGGAGUUUGACAGUUGGGAGAACACUCACAAUGACUGUGCCAAGAACUUCACAGGGUCAAGUAAGGCAAUGGAGCAGGAGUCCGCUAAGAGGAUGUGGGCGAGGUCGGUGAAUCGCCACCAGGUGCGGUACACAGAGAUGCUGUCAGAUGGGGAUAGUGCAGCAUUUAGGGAGGUGGUUGCACUGAACCCAUACCCUGGGCAUGACAUUGUUAAAUUAGAAUGUAUCAAUCAUGCUCACAAGCGAAUGGGGACAGCUCUAAGAAAGCUGAGUGCACAGGGAAAGUUAGGAGGAAAGGGUUUGGGAAAGCUAACUGCAAAAAAAUGCAAAAGUUUGCAAAAUUAUUACAGGGGGGCAAUUAUAAAUAACCAGGGUUCAGUAGACGGGAUGAAGGCAGCAAUAUGGGCAAGUCUCCUCCACUGUAUGUCCACAGAUGAUAACCCCUUGCACACCAGGUGCAAUCCCUCCUGGUGUUGGUACAGGAAGGCAGAGGAGAACGGGGAAUCACCUGGUAGCCACAAGCAGCAUGCUGGGAACUAUUUAACCCGUGAGGUGGGAAAGCAGCUUAUACCAGUCUACCACCGGAUGUCAAGUGACAGCCUGCUGCAGCGAAUGCAGCAUGGAGGCACUCAAAAUGCAAACGAGUGCCUCAACUCUGUUAUAUGGGCACGGUGUCCAAAAACGUUUUUUGUGGGUAAAAGCAGGGUUGAGGCAGCAGCCAGUAUGGCCAUCUCCACUUUUAAUGAAGGUGCCUCUGCCAUGCUAAAUGUAAUGGAGAGGUUGUGGCUUCAGAGCACAGUUGUGACAGUUAACGCCAUGAGGGAAACUGAUCGGUUCAGAAUAUCCAAAGCUGAGGCUUACACCACCAGCAUGAAGCACAGGCGCAAGUGUCUGAGCACUGCAAAAAAAGUGAAAAGGCAUCAGCAAGAAAGGGAUGAGGGUCCAACAUAUGAAGCUGGCAUGGAAAGCUAGGCUGCAGACAUAAAUGCUAACAAAUAAAUAUAAAUGCGACAACCACCAAACCAGUGUGGCAGUUCUGGUCGCAGUGUGUGUCUGUGCGGGUGCGUGUGUUUGACUAUAGUUCUGUUCAGUUAAAGGCCAAUGCUGGUUCAAUUUUUAGUUUUAAUGUGUUUGGGAUGUUGUCUGUUGUGGUUGCUAAGUUUUUGAUGAGAUAUUUUGUCUGUAAAUAGUGCUUUGAAAUACAUUUGUAUAAAAAUUUACAACACAUAUCUUUUAAAGGCCGUUUUCUCAAAAUGAGUUUUUUCUCAUGCUCUGAGCGUGAAAUCUCCACUUCUGUAGUACUUACAUAGAUCAAACUUUCUAUUUAAAUUCCUAUUUACUUUGUCUAGGAGUUUACAGAAGGGUUUGUUUAUAAAUAUUUCAUAGCCUGAUUUAUCGGCCAUUUUAUUUGAAAAAAGUGGCGAAAAUCGAGUUUUUAUGAGUGUUGAGAGUAUUUUCUGAUUUCUGAAGUGAUAAAAAGAGAUAUCAAAAAUGUCCUCUGUAAAAAACUUUGUAUUAAAAGUAUCAACAAAAGGACACUAAAAGUGUUUACCUAGCUUUAACCAAUGUUCAGAUUUCAGUUCUGGAAAUGUGCGCAUAUUUAAGUAUAUUGCGCCUCAUUUGCAUAUAAUUUGCAUAUCUACAUUAAAUAUUCAGAAAACUUGUAAUGCAAAAAAACAUUGUCUUAAUAUAAGUAAUCAACUUGGGAAGUUUAAUGGGGAUAUCUAUUAGUAAAAAAAAAUACCCUAUUAACCUGUGGUGUCUGGCCUUAAUACAUCCAUGAAGCUAACAAUAACAACGGAUCCAGGCAUCGAGUUAAAACUUUUCAAAGUAUGUGGCGCCAUAUCGCCGGUGUAAAAAAGCCCGCCGCGGAAUCAGCAGUAGCUGUGGAGUGCAAAGAAAAAACGAGAAAGAAAAGGUAUUUUUCGAAUAAGUGGCGUAUUGAUGACAAUGGGAAAACUAGGGAAUGGUUAGCCUACCUUCCCGGCGAGCAGUCUAUGCAUUGUACUUACUGUCGAACCUACACGUCGCCAGAAAAUGCUAACAAUUCGUUCGUCAGAGGAACAACUAACCUUAAAUUAGAGGCAAUAAGAGACCACGAGUCAUCCAAGUCUCACAUCAAAUGCACUGCCAUACAGUUGGCGAAGACAGAACCCCAGGAGCAGAGUGUGGCAAUAAAGGCUAUCUGCUCCAUGCAAUCGGCGCAAUUGGACCGGAUGAGAAUUCUGUUCAGAAACGUACAUGCAAUCGGCAAGAAGGGAAGACCUUUUCGGGACUAUGUUUGGAUGUGCAAAUCCAGUCACCAGAUUCGGAGGGGGUGAAUCCUGUGCAGGAAAGCAAGGCACGUAACUUCUACCAAAUGGCAAAGGAUCCAGGUGUAGUGAUGUUCAGCUGCUUUUUGCACGACAGCCUGACCCACCUCAGCAACCUGUCUGCAUCCAUGCAACGGCCAUCUAUAACAGUGGCAGAGGUUCAGAGCAGCCUGAUAGCCACACAGGCUGUCUUAACUAAACACAAGAACAGACCCGGACCCAGGCUUAGGUCAUUCUUAGAAGAUCCAGCCACAUUUGAGGGUGUUACCUUGGCAGUACCCAGAGAGGACCUCUCCCUGGCUGGUGUGAACUCCAAAAAAGACAAGCUGAUAGACACAUUUUGCAGCAGUAUGGCGACACGAUUUUGUGACUUCAGCUCUGGAGUACUACAUGCUUCCAAACUGGUGGAUAUCACAAGCUGGCCGAAAGCAGACACACGUGAAGAUUUUGGAGAUGCAGAUGUGGAUUGUCUUAUGUCUUUGGUCCACAAUUGGCUUCCUCUGGGGCCGAUUUGGAUCUGAUUCCAGACCAGUGGACGUUCCUCAAGAGCAGUUUGUACCAGCAGCAUGAGAACAUGGAGCAGAUGACCUGGCCAGAGAUAAACCAGAGACUGGGAGGCCAGUGCCCUGAUUUCCUUCAGCUUGUUGACAUAGUACUCUGUAUUCCAUCAUCCACAGCAGACUGUGAGCGGGGUUUCAAUUUGAUGAAACAAGUGAAGAGUGACUGGAGGUCAGGUCUAAGGUCGGACACACUGUCUGACCUGCUCACAGUGCAGCUAACCAGCCCUAACAUUGAAGACUUUGAUCCAGGCUCAGCCAUCCAGCUGUGGCAUCAGGCCAGCGUCAGGAGGCCAGACUUCAUGGAAAGAGGAGCCAAGAAGAGGAAGACCCAACUUGAAGAUGACAGUGAAACGUCUGACGAGGAGGAUGACUCUGAACAAGACUAAAGUGACACUUUAUUAUUUUACUGAGAGAUGAGUUAUGAAUUAAUUGAUAUCUGAACACGAUCUGUUUGCACUUAAAAUAAAUAAAUGUAAAUUCAAAGAAAUGUAACAUGUCAAAAGAUGGAAACUAUUUCACACUACAGAUGUUUUUUAAUGUUUUUUUUGUUUUGUACAUUAAACAUGUAGACCUUUAACUGUCUGAUCAAAUGUUUUAUCUAGUUUACUUCUAUUUUGAUUAGAGACAGUCUUUUGUUUUAGAUAGUAGGUCACACAAGAGGCAGUCUGUUUUGUUCACCAUUAAGGCAAGGUACGUUUACUUAUAUAGUACAUUUCCAUUUGCCAAUCUCCAAUUUUAAUAAUGAAAAAGAAUGUAGGCCUAUUAGAGCAAUUCAAAAUAUGCUAGUGCAUUUUCUUUUAUAAAUUUGAUUUCUGGAAAAAGGUGGCAGGUAAAAAAUAAAAGUGGCUGGUAAAAUUUGGCAUCCACCUGCCACUGUGGCAGGUGGGCAAAAAAGUUAAUUUCCCACCCUGAU
Molecule: RNA transcript, 6517 nt
Organism: Hypomesus transpacificus
Lineage: Eukaryota; Metazoa; Chordata; Actinopteri; Osmeriformes; Osmeridae
Exons: 4
Source: RefSeq, a predicted model, not a curated record